GUGCUUUCUUUGGCAGCACAUAUACCAAAAUUGGAACCAUACAGAAAAGAUUAGGGAUACCCCUGUGAAAGAAAGCCAAGCAAAUUUGCAAAAUGUUCCAUACUUUU
Small nuclear RNA from Ictidomys tridecemlineatus (thirteen-lined ground squirrel), 107 nucleotides. Lineage: Eukaryota; Metazoa; Chordata; Mammalia; Rodentia; Sciuridae. The record is from Ensembl.